This 396-nucleotide unclassified non-coding RNA is filed under the name Hevea brasiliensis (rubber tree). The record is from RNAcentral. Lineage: Eukaryota; Viridiplantae; Streptophyta; Magnoliopsida; Malpighiales; Euphorbiaceae.
AAGAAAUCUAACAUCUCGUAAUCUGAUUUGAGGUAGAGUUCAAACUAUGACACAGGUAAGAAUAAUUAUGGAACAGAUGGGAACAAACAUGAAAAGGCCAUUGUGAAUACAUAGCACAAACUAUUCGAAAGCAGGAUCAGCCCAACAAGCUAGGUAUGUAUCGCCAUCUUAUGAGAGAGAAGCAAGCCACACAGCAAUCUGGUUCCCGCCAAGUAGAUAGUUUCCGCUUCAAUUUCCCUCUAACAAGGGACAGCACAGAGUGCAGAAAUAAUAUCAAUCAACAAAAGGCAAGUACGCACUCAUAAGAAAUAAGGUACUCCUGUCCUGGGUCCUCGCAUCUGGUUGUUUUCUUCAGUUUCAGUGAAGAACUUCACCUCUCUCUCCAUAUUCUCAUUG